GGAAACGGGAAACGGGGAACGGGGAGCGGGGAGCCUCGACCCGCCCCCGCCCCUGCCCUCAUCGCGCGGGUACCGGCACCGCCGAGAGACAGCGGCAAACAGCCCCGGCCUGGAGCUGAGAGCGCCCCGCUCCGCGUAGAUAGCAGCUCCUGGUGCUACUCUCGGGUGGGAGAUUGGAUUUUUGAUACUGGUUUGUUUUUUUUUUUUAAUCAGUCUUCUGGUUGUAAAGUAAUUAUCUGACCGCUUGAAUUGAUAUUUUAUUCCAAGUGCUGAAGAGUAAGGGUUCAGGACUAACCGUGCCCUAGAUCCCUUGUACCCUGUACUGGGCUGACACAGCUCAGUGUUUCUGAGGGAGAGUUUCUGCAGCACAAGACAAAAUGUAAGCUAUGCUGUGGUCAUUAAGCUGUGUCCUUGUGCAGAGUGUUCCUUCAUGGCAGCUGACAACUGUUGAAUCCGGGUAGCUGUGGUUCAUGUUUCCUGCCCAUCCCCAUCCUCGUCCAUGCAUUCAGGUGAUUGAUUCAGCGUUCAAGCUGGAGGGGCUGCCUGAGCUGUCUUACUGCGCAGUCACUGGUGUCAGCAAGAGCCACAGUCUGCCUAACUGCACUGGGAGCUGGGAAGCCAUGCUGUGUUAAACUGCUGCCUCAGGACACCACAGAUGAGCCUGGAGAACUGACUGGCACUGGGAAAUGUGAGCCAAGGGGAACAAGUUUGAGACAGGUGAACUGGCAGAUGCUUGUACAAAGGCCGCCAUGAAGAGGAGGGCUUUUGUUUGCUGUGUGAUUCUGCCUCAUUGCCUCACAACAGAAGACAAAUGUCUUGGUGUUUGUACAGCAGAAUGGUAUCAACAAAGCACCUUCUGAGCUUGCAACGUGUGCCAACAGAAGCCCAUGUGCAAUAUGGAAGACUAUACUAGAUAAGGGGGUUCCAGCAUAGUGCUGGUAAAUACCACUCAGGGUGGAAAUGGAGCUCAGUGCAGGAGAAGUGUGGGGGUGUCUGAACUCAAAAGCAGAAACUGUUGAGUUUUUAGGAAGAUCUUGCUUUUUGUUUGACCUAAGCAUGCACUGACCUGAUUUGUCAGCCCACUUGUUUCCCAAGACAGGCCUUUUUGAAGGAAAAAGUAUGUUUUUAGGGAGACAAGAUAGCUGCCCAGAAUAAUCCUCUCCAACUUCCCACCAAGGACUUUGUUGCUGGAGGUACUGUAUUUUUCCACAUGCACAGAGUACUGCGAGACUUAAGGGCAAAAUUGCCUAUGCCUGUCUCUAUUCCAGAAGAUUCUGUUCUAUAACAGAUUUGCAACACAAAGGAUAGGAAUAAAGCACCCAUUUUACUUGUUUGCCUGGGCAGCUAAGGAUUACAUUCCAGGGAACAAAAAACGGAAAAUAAAACAAAGCAAACAAACAAACAAAACAGAAUACACCCCAAGAAAAGGAAAAAAAAAAAAGAACAAAAGAAACAAAAAAAACCAAUUACAAAGAUUUAAACAUCCAGUAUUAAAAACUGAUUACAUGGUCAGACCUGUGUAACAUUUAUGUACGGUGCAUAUAGUUAUCUCACCUGUGGGCUUCAGACAUUACUCAUUAUGUUUAAAGGCUUUGGAUUUGUCUGUCAUUUAUGAUCACUGCUUUGUAAAUAAUAACAGCAAGUGACUUGAUAAAUGGAGAAUUCAUUUCAGCUAUUUUUGUUACUACUGGGGGCUUGGAAGUGUCCUUUACAUAAUCUAGAGAAGCAGCAGCAGUGAUAGAAACAUCCAGUUUGUCGCUUAUGUUUCCCUUGUAUUUCUUUCUGUUGACCCAAGAACUAAAAUUUGUGCAAUCAUGUCCAAAAUGCUUUGCUGCAGUGAUUAUGCCUUUAUUCUGCCUGAUGAAAAGCCUCCUGCAGAGGUUGUUCUUUAGCACCUCUCUUCUACAUAUUUGCCAAAAAAGGAGUACUUUCCAUAGCCUCAUUUACUUCCCAGAAUCAAAGGAUUUGGGGGUUAAUAAUGUUUGUCCAUUUAAACUUUCCCCACACCUUGCAGAUACCCUAUAAGAACAUGCAGUUAGGAACUGGUUUUGUGUGAGGAAAUAGCUCAAAAUAACAUUCUAUCCCAGCUGUCUCAUGCCAUAUCCUGUGCAUACACUUUUGUUUUUGGCAUAACUACACAGAUGAGUUACAGUGAAAUAAUAAGGGCGUGACUUUACAAGGUAACUACUGCAUUUCAAAACCACUGGUUUACAUGUUUUCACAUACUGUUAAUACCAGGAAAUGUUCUUUCUCAUUCUCCCUUGAGGAUAAUUACCAGCCAUUUUGAAAAAAAUAAUAGUGAAGACAAUGAUACUAUGAGUAGAACCUUAUUUCUUCACUUGUUCUUAAAACAGUGAAAACUUUUAGUGAAUCUGCAUUGGAAUUAAUUUGAGUGAAGUUAUUUAAAGGUACUUACACAGUAAUAUUUUUCUUCCAGGAAUAUGGGAAGUACUGGGGUAGGACAAAUAUCUGUACAGACUGGAGCUUUGCAUUUGAAGUCUCACCCAGGUUAGUCUAAGUGGCUUACGUUAGCCUCGCUUUGAAGAGAGAAACCCUAAGGAGGCCAAAGGUUGGUCUGCAGCGAACUUGUGCAGUUACCAUUCAUCACUUGCAAACACAUUUUACAGUGUUUACCUCACACAGAUACACUAGCAGCGACCCAAGCUUCUGGCAUAGAUACAGUUAGGUCAGCAGACACAUAGAAAGGCAGCUUUUGAACAUUUUGGUUGCAUUUGUUAUGAAAAAAUGUUGCUAAUUAUAUGGGAAGAUGGCCACUUCCAAAUGAAUUUAAUAAAAGCUGUAGUGCUUGUAUGGCUGUUUGCAGUCUGCCUGUGCUGUGAGCUCAGCAUUCUACAUUUGGUGGGCAGGUGCCAAUGGCUCUGCAAGUAUUUGUUCCUGAUCAAGUAGUCACUUUUAGUGGUGGAUUAACAAUUCCUUCUCCUAAUGAGGAUUGUAAACAAACAUAGACAUAUUGGAUUCUCAUAAAACAAUGUUCACUUGUUCCAGCUCAGAAACUGGUGAGUGCUGGCAGGGUAGCAGGUGUUAGACAAUGCUGCUGCAGGCUGCCUCCAGCCAAUUUCCAUCAAGCUCAAAUGAGCAUGUUGUUCAAGCCUGCAAACUUUAAAAAUGGCAGCAUAUUUUAAAUGCAAAAAAUAAUUUGAAGGUGCACAUAAAUUGUCAGAGCUGGUGAAGGUCAUGGUCUUGCCCACCUUUCCAUGCCCCCUUCUUGCCUGGUGCUACUGUGAGUCCCCAUGAGCCCACCAGCUACCCUGAAUGUUUCUCUAUUUCCUCUCAGAUACACCAGCUGGGUUUACCCUGUGACCAGACAGACAUUCAUGCUGGCAUAAGCAUGCUCAUGGGAAGAAUGAGGAGGAGAAAAAUGUCCUGCUUUCCAUUCUGAUCUCUAGCAUCAAUGAAAAAGUGAAAGACCAGUAAAAAUGUAAAUGCUGGGGGAAAAAAGCUGUUUUUCUGGGCAUGUACUGGUGCCUGCAGAGGUUGGUCUUCGUCACCAGUUGUCUUGCUGCGGGCCAGCCCUGUGAUGAGUACAGUUAAAAAAUAGCUCUUCAUGGCAGCUUCAUUUGUGGGUUUUUUUCUGUCAUUCUUCCUUUUGUGAGCUGCCACUCUUCCUUUCAUGUUGCUCUACUGCUGCAGUAUUCAUCUUGCCUGUGCCAUGCUGUGCUGUGAAACAACCUGCCAGGCUGCUGCUUGGACCGUGCUCCCUGCCAGCACAACACUCAAAAGGCUUCGCUGAUCUGGAAAAUCUCUGUGUACUCAAUUCUUUGUUUCACUGUUAUGGGUAGGUUUCAAAAGAUGUGAAGAGAUCAUGGUCUGGAAAAAUACACUGUAUUAUAGUUUGGUUGCCUAAUUCAAUUCAUGAGUCUGAUUGCUUUUGUGCUUGUAAAAAUUAACUGCCUUCUCAGUUCCUUUUGGUUUUGUCUGUUGCAAGUAGAUCUCUCAUGUUGCAUAAGAAAGUCACAUGGAACUUCAUAAAGUUAUUCUAUAAGGUCA
Molecule: long non-coding RNA, 4008 nt
Organism: Passer domesticus (house sparrow)
Lineage: Eukaryota; Metazoa; Chordata; Aves; Passeriformes; Passeridae
Exons: 2
Source: RefSeq, a predicted model, not a curated record